RNAcentral lists this ribosomal RNA (200 nucleotides) under uncultured bacterium. RNAcentral's name for it is "partial 16S ribosomal RNA". It matches the Rfam family "Bacterial small subunit ribosomal RNA", at positions 30 to 242 of the family's 1533-position model. The record is from RNAcentral.
AUUGAACGCUGGCGGCAGGCCUAACACAUGCAAGUCGAGCGGGGUUUUCGGACCUAGCGGUGGACGGGUGAGUAAUGCGUAGGAAGCUGCCCGAUAGAGGGGGAUACCAGUUGGAAACGACUGUUAAUACCGCAUAAUGUCUACGGACCAAAGUGUGGGACCUUCGGGCCACAUGCUAUCGGAUGCGCCUACGUGGGAUU